UUUGUGUGUGAAUGUGUUUGAGCUAUGAAACUCUCAAGUGUUUAAAGAAAGUUUGAAGUGUUGCGCAUUGUGCUUAUGCAUUCCUUAAUACAAUGUUUUAUCCUGUUGGAUAGUACGAGCAAACAGCUCCGUGCAACGUGUCUAGUAAAGGCUUGCCAAUUUCAGCUGUAAUGGCGGUGUCCAUAUCUGAAGCGGUGAUCAUCUAAUUUAUCCAACGGACUUUUUGCACUGAAAGAAUAUUCGCGGCUCUCUUAUCAAGGACUUAGAAUUGAAUGCAUAAUGCAAGAAUAACCUUACUGAAAAGUCAAGCGAGACAACGCCAACUAAGUCUUCGAAGGUGUAGCUUAUGUGUUCUUGCAACUCUAUCGGGAAAUCGAAGAUUACAAGCUGCAUAAAUUCUACGGGCGGAUGCAACAAUGGGUGAAACGUGACUUACUCGCUGGCUACAGAUACUUCAAAGAACAUUCUGCAUCUACCCAAGUCGGGGAGCUCUAAGCCGUAAUCUUUUCAUGAAGACAUAAAAAUUCCAAAAUCAACCAAGCCUGGGAUAACUCGCAAGUCAUCUCCGAUCUCGUAUGUAGAUCUUGGAGCAUUAAUGCUUUGUAAAGAAGCCUAUAUGGAAAAUGGGCUUGCAAAGGGUGAUAUUUUUUAUUUCAACUAGCUCUAUUAAGUUUGGAAAGUAUUUUGAACAUUUUUGGAGCAAGUUCAGUCCUUUCUCGCUGAUCAUUUAAAAUUGUAAUGGUCUCAUUGAAAGUCUCUAAACAUGCAUGUGCCAGUAAAAUCAACUUGAGAUUUAAAAUCGCCUUUCAACUGUUUGUACAUAAAAGAAUCCUUACGAAAUUUUAUUAUUCAAGCUAUAAAACAGAAGCAAGGCCCUCAGUUUACAAGCUUAAGACGAGCGUGCUUCCAAAUAAAGAUGCGAAGCUUAAAUAGAUUCUAAUUUGAAUGUUGAAUUACUUAAAUAUAGCAAAGAAACUUCGUAAAACGCUUCCCGCAUGAAUAAUCGUAACUCAAAUUUUACUCACAAAUCCGAAUACUAGUUUUGGAUGCGAAAGCCUUUAUGUCGUUUUGAUAUCAAGUGCUACGUGUAACUCGCAUCUGGGUUAAGAACCUCUAUGUAUAAAGUUCAUCAGUGUCCUUUCAAACAUCAAAGAGCUUGAUUUUUUAUUGGAAUAGAAAUUCACAGUUCAUUAACUAUUUCACAAAUAAACUCCUACACAAGUAGUAUAUUAAAAUCAAUACGAAAUCGGAAUAAGUUUAGUUAUCCUAUUUAAAUAAACUGAAAUUAUAUAUUAAAAAUCUAAGUAAAUAUAUUAUCGAUACAUUAAGUAGAUCCGUUGAAAUCAAUUUUGGUCAAACAGUGCCGACUAGUCAUUUUACUUAAUAUAUGAAUAUUUGGUGAGCAUUUCGCGAGUCGUAGUCUUGACACCGCGUAUGACAUUGUAUUUUGAGCUAUUUACUUCAAACAUGAAGCGCGUUGAUAGACGGGAAAAAUACCCAAACCAUCUAUUGAGUAUUCCGAGAGUACUCCAUGCACCUAUAGUUCGACGGAAUUACUUGCAACUUUUAAAUUAUUCAGUGCUAACACAAGUUAAUUUCGGUGUCCCUGAAAUAAAGUUCAGUUAGAUCUUUAAAAAUCGGAUUUUUCCAACUUGAAAGUAUGAAGCUAAGCUUCUUUAUAAAAAUGAGGUGAACACUGUAGGAAUGCAAGGCAAGAUUUUAAAGCAAUGGGUCUCUCUACCAAGUGCGAAAACUUGAAUAUUAUGGGGAUAUUAUCAUUAAUAGCGAAAGCGGUAGAUAUUGUAUAUCAAGUUCAAUUAUUAACCUUGAUUAGAAAAUUUAAUAUUUUACCGAACUAACAUUUAACCAAUUUCUACGUAUUGUUUCUUAUCUUGCAUUGAUAAAUCAGAUCGCGAAUUGAAACUCGGUCCUCAAGGGGAGAAUAAAAUUAAUUCUUGGGGAGAAAGAGGGAGAUGUGUCGCCUGACCAACCUUUCAUACUUCGCGAAAAGUGGAGGAUGGGAUAGGUGCCAGCCGGCUGGUAAGAGGAAGGGGAUGCGAUUAUUUGAGUCUCGGUGCACCUCAU
Molecule: long non-coding RNA, 2085 nt
Organism: Argiope bruennichi
Lineage: Eukaryota; Metazoa; Arthropoda; Arachnida; Araneae; Araneidae
Exons: 3
Source: RefSeq, a predicted model, not a curated record